GCUAAACCAUGCACCGAAGCUGCGGCAGCGAACGUAUCACUUAAAGCGAUUCAGCGGGUUACGAUUGACGGAGCGAAGCGACGUCAAAGCGUAUACAAAGUCGAGUCGGUUUAAGGAUACGUUCGUUGGGUAGGGGAGCGUUCUGUAAGCCUGCGUGUGUUGUUGGGUAGGGGAGCGUUCUGUAAGCCUGUGAAGGUGGCCUGUGAGGGUUGCUGGAGGUAUCAGAAGUGCGAAUGCUGACAUAAGUAACGAUAAAGCGGGUGAAAAGCCCGCUCGCCGGAAGACCAAGGGUUCCUGUCCAACGUUAAUCGGGGCAGGGUGAGUCGACCCCUAAGGCGAGGCCGAAAGGCGUAGUCGAUGGGAAACGGGUUAAUAUUCCCGUACUUGGUGUUACUGCGAAGGGGGGACGGAGAAGGCUAUGUUGGCCGGGCGACGGUUGUCCCGGUUUAAGCGUGUAGGUGUGUGUUCCAGGUAAAUCCGGUUCACUUUAACACUGAGGCGUGACGACGAGGCACUACGGUGCUGAAGCAACAAAUGCCCUGCUUCCAGGAAAAGCCUCUAAGCAUCAGGUAACAUCAAAUCGUACCCCAAACCGACACAGGUGGUCAGGUAGAGAAUACCAAGGCGCUUGAGAGAACUCGGGUGAAGGAACUAGGCAAAAUGGUGCCGUAACUUCGGGAGAAGGCACGCUGACACGUAGGUGAAGUGAUUUACUCAUGGAGCUGAAGUCAGUCGAAGAUACCAGCUGGCUGCAACUGUUUAUUAAAAACACAGCACUGUGCAAACACGAAAGUGGACGUAUACGGUGUGACGCCUGCCCGGUGCCGGAAGGUUAAUUGAUGGGGUCAGCGCAAGCGAAGCUCCUGAUCGAAGCCCCGGUAAACGGCGGCCGUAACUAUAACGGUCCUAAGGUAGCGAAAUUCCUUGUCGGGUAAGUUCCGACCUGCACGAAUGGCGUAAUGAUGGCCAGGCUGUCUCCACCCGAGACUCAGUGAAAUUGAACUCGCUGUGAAGAUGCAGUGUACCCGCGGCAAGACGGAAAGACCCCGUGAACCUUUACUAUAGCUUGACACUGAACAUUGAGCCUUGAUGUGUAGGAUAGGUGGGAGGCUUUGAAGUGUGGACGCCAGUCUGCAUGGAGCCGACCUUGAAAUACCACCCUUUAAUGUUUGAUGUUCUAACGUGGACCCGUAAUCCGGGUUGCGGACAGUGUCUGGUGGGUAGUUUGACUGGGGCGGUCUCCUCCUAAAGAGUAACGGAGGAGCACGAAGGUUGGCUAAUCCUGGUCGGACAUCAGGAGGUUAGUGCAAUGGCAUAAGCCAGCUUGACUGCGAGCGUGACGGCGCGAGCAGGUGCGAAAGCAGGUCAUAGUGAUCCGGUGGUUCUGAAUGGAAGGGCCAUCGCUCAACGGAUAAAAGGUACUCCGGGGAUAACAGGCUGAUACCGCCCAAGAGUUCAUAUCGACGGCGGUGUUUGGCACCUCGAUGUCGGCUCAUCACAUCCUGGGGCUGAAGUAGGUCCCAAGGGUAUGGCUGUUCGCCAUUUAAAGUGGUACGCGAGCUGGGUUUAGAACGUCGUGAGACAGUUCGGUCCCUAUCUGCCGUGGGCGCUGGAGAACUGAGGGGGGCUGCUCCUAGUACGAGAGGACCGGAGUGGACGCAUCACUGGUGUUCGGGUUGUCAUGCCAAUGGCACUGCCCGGUAGCUAAAUGCGGAAGAGAUAAGUGCUGAAAGCAUCUAAGCACGAAACUUGCCCCGAGAUGAGUUCUCCCUGAGACUUAGAGUCUCCUGAAGGAACGUUGAAGACGACGACGUUGAUAGGCCGGGUGUGUAAGCGCAGCGAUGCGUUGAGCUAACCGGUACUAAUGAACCGUGAGGCUUAACCUU
Molecule: ribosomal RNA, 1886 nt
Filed under: Salmonella enterica subsp. enterica serovar Agona str. 30.H.04
Lineage: Bacteria; Pseudomonadati; Pseudomonadota; Gammaproteobacteria; Enterobacterales; Enterobacteriaceae
Description: bacterial LSU rRNA
Rfam family: Bacterial large subunit ribosomal RNA
Source: RNAcentral